CCCCCGUGGUUUUAGUUUGUACCCCGGGAACUGGGGAUAAUACCCCAUAGACUAUAGAUGCUGGAAUGCUUUGUAGUUGAAAGGUCCGCCGCCAUAGGAUGGGUCUGCGGCCGAUUAGGUUGUUGUUGGGGUAACGGCCCAACAAGCCUGUAAUCGGUACGGGUUGUGGGAGCAAGAGCCCGGAGAUGGAUUCUGAGACACGAAUCCAGGCCCUACGGGGCGCAGCAGGCGCGAAAACUUUACAAUGCGGGAAACCGUGAUAAGGGAACUCCGAGUGCCCGUAAAAUCGGGCUGUCCAUCUGUUUAAAUAACAGGUGAAGAAAGGGCCGGGCAAGACCGGUGCCAGCCGCCGCGGUAAUACCGGCGGCUCGAGUGGUGGCCACUAUUACUGGGCUUAAAGCGUUCGUAGCUGGUCUGUUAAGUCUCUGGGGAAAUCUACUGGCUUAACCAAUAGGCGUCUCAGGGAUACUGGCAGACUAGGGACCGGGAGAGGUGAGAGGUACUCCAGGGGUAGGAGUGAAAUCCUGUAAUCCUUGGGGGACCACCUGUGGCGAAGGCGUCUCACCAGAACGGCUCCGACAGUGAGGGACGAAAGCUGGGGGAGCAAACCGGAUUAGAUACCCGGGUAGUCCCAGCCGUAAACGAUGCGCGUUAGGUGUAUCGGUGACCACGAGUCACCGAGGUGCCGAAGAGAAAUCGUGAAACGUGCCGCCUGGGAAGUACGGUCGCAAGGCUGAAACUUAAAGGAAUUGGCGGGGGAGCAC
This 764-nucleotide ribosomal RNA is filed under the name uncultured archaeon. RNAcentral describes it as "bacterial SSU rRNA". It matches the Rfam family "Archaeal small subunit ribosomal RNA", at positions 111 to 879 of the family's 1478-position model. The record is from RNAcentral.